RNAcentral lists this ribosomal RNA (301 nucleotides) under uncultured bacterium. Its description in RNAcentral is "bacterial SSU rRNA". It matches the Rfam family "Bacterial small subunit ribosomal RNA", at positions 334 to 652 of the family's 1533-position model. The record is from RNAcentral.
GUAUCCUACGGGGGGCAGCAGUGGGGGAUAUUGCACAAUGGGGGAAACCCUGAUGCAGCGACGCCGCGUGUGGGAAGACGGUCCUCUGGAUUGUAAACCACUGUCCCCAGGGACGAAGAUGACGGUACCUGGGGAGGAAGCUCCGGCUAACUACGUGCCAGCAGCCGCGGUAAUACGUAGGGAGCGAGCGUUGUCCGGAAUUACUGGGAGUAAAGGGAGCGUAGGCGGGGAUGCAAGUUGGGUGUCAAAACUACCGGAUCAACUGGUAGUCGACCUCAAAACUGCAGAUCUUGAGGGAAGU